UAAUCCUUUAAAAAUAGUCCAGAGAGGCUAAGAAGGAGCAGCAGGUUCUUUAUACGUACCCGUGAGUACUGAUAAAGUCCCUUUGAAUAGGUGAACUUUAAUUUAUUGACCUUUUCAUACCUAAUAGAAAUAUUUGGGAGCACUCUUAUCUUAACUGGAUAAGAGUGCUUUUUUU
Molecule: regulatory RNA element, 175 nt
Organism: Alkalibacterium sp. 20
Lineage: Bacteria; Bacillati; Bacillota; Bacilli; Lactobacillales; Carnobacteriaceae
Rfam family: PyrR binding site
About the family: This family represents the PyrR binding site and terminator structure. This RNA structure is found upstream of a variety of genes involved in pyrimidine biosynthesis and transport.
Source: Rfam